CAAUUUUUGUUUACGAAUACAAAUAACUGAAAUAAUCCAACAACCUCUGAUUAUGCGUUUCUGUAGGAUGGAGUUCCUUUGGAUGAUCCUGACACUCUGCGCCCUGGUCAAAACCAACCCAGCAGACGUAAUCACGAACGGACCCCCUACGGGAAUCGUUCUCCGCGACGAGCCAGGACUCCUCAUAACUAACUGCAGAGUACACACGCAGAGGGUAUAUAUCCGCCUAGAGGCAGAGAAUGUGUACCGCCAACACAUUCCACCUGCGGCGCAUUUGAGUUGGGCCGGGGCUGACUGGACCAGCCAGGCAAUUAAGCACGCCCAGCUAGACACUGCCCAUAUGUUGGCCCAACUCCAAAAGUUCACAGUAACCCAGUCAGAACUAGCUGAGCCCAGGCGAGAAAAACGAUUCGUCGGGGCGCUACUAUCGAUAGGGGCAGCCGUAGGGUCACUAUUUGCCCUAGGUACCACUGCCGUCAACGCAGUCAGUCUAGCCACAGUCAAGAGGAAUGUUAGGGAGAUUACUGAAGAGAUGCCACUUAUCCAGCAGCAGAUGAAGACACAGGCCCUUAGGUUGCAACAUGUGGGAAAGUCUCUCCAGGACACUAUUCUGGUGGUCAACACACACGCUACUCUCCUGAACAAAACUAUCCUGUCUGUAGGAAAGCUAGCAGAGGUCAUGAACCAUGACUAUGCCCAUGUCCAAUUGGUUCGAUUGUUACUGGAGGAUUUUCUCCGUGAAGUUAGCUCUUCUAUUGACCACUUGGCCAUGAAUAGAAUCCCCUCAUAUCUAGUGCCCCUCUCAAUGGUGCACGACAUAUUGACCUCAGCUACUUCAACCACACUAAGGCCGUUACAAUCACAUUUGGCCUAUAGUCUGGGGUCGGCCAUCCCAAUACACGUUGAUGUUGAUCGUAAUGAAGUGGGUUUUCUACUGACGCUGCCGGUUGUUGAACUGGAGAAUAUCUAUAGAUUGAAAACGGUUCUCAAUGUAGGAUUUUGGCGCGACAGUACCCACGUAAAGAUUGCCACGCCCCCAGUUGUAGCUUACCAGGAAAACAACCCAGAUUUCUAUCUCACCCCUAACCUGCUAAUGUGUACUCUAACCAAAGAUGUCCACUACCUUUGUCCUAGCAAACCAUUUGUCAGGGAUAACACUGAGCGUCUUUGUGGUAUUAAAGCUAUCACCAGCGAAGAACGCUGUAGAGCCAAACUAACAGCCAGGGAUGGGGCCACCACCACACAAGUGGAGGUGGUAGGGAACCGAUGGUUGGUCAACACACCGUUCGCGUCCGCCACUAUGACUCC
This is a long non-coding RNA of Salmo trutta (river trout), 1308 nucleotides long. NCBI's taxonomy places the organism in Eukaryota, Metazoa, Chordata, Actinopteri, Salmoniformes, Salmonidae. The record is from Ensembl.